AACGAUCCUUCGGGAUAGUGGCGGACGGGUGAGUAACGCGUGGGAAACUACCUUUCGGUACGGAAUAGCCUCGGGAAACUGGGAUUAAUACCGUAUACGUCCUUCGGGAGAAAGAUUUAUCGCCGAUUGAGGUGCCCGCGUUGGAUUAGCUUGUUGGUGAGGUAAUGGCUCACCAAGGCGACGAUCCAUAGCUGGUCUGAGAGGAUGAUCAGCCACACUGGGACUUAGACACGGCCCAGACUCCUACGGGAGGCAGCAGUGGGGAAUAUUGGACAAUGGGCGAAAGCCUGAUCCAGCCAUGCCGCGUGAGUGAUGACGGCCUUAGGGUUGUAAAGCUCUUUCAGUGGGGAAGAUAAUGACGGUACCCACAGAAGAAGCCCCGGCUAACUCCGUGCCAGCAGCCGCGGUAAUACGGAGGGUGCAAGCGUUAUCCGGAUUCACUGGGUUUAAAGGGUGCGUAGGUGGGUCGGUAAGUCAGUGGUGAAAUCCCCGAGCUUAACUUGGGAACUGCCAUUGAUACUAUCGGUCUUGAAUAUCGCGGAGGUCAGCGGAAUAUGUCAUGUAGCGGUGAAAUGCUUAGAUAUGACAUAGAACACCAAUUGCGAAGGCAGCUGGCUACCCGAAUAUUGACACUGAGGCACGAAAGCGUGGGGAUCAAACAGGAUUAGAUACCCUGGUAGUCCACGCCCUAAACUAUGGAUACUCGACAUUUGCGAUAAACUGUAAGUGUCUGAGCGAAAGCAUUAAGUAUCCCACCUGGGAAGUACGACCGCAAGGUUGAAACUCAAAGGAAUUGGCGGG
This 801-nucleotide ribosomal RNA is filed under the name uncultured bacterium. Its description in RNAcentral is "bacterial SSU rRNA". It matches the Rfam family "Bacterial small subunit ribosomal RNA", at positions 65 to 917 of the family's 1533-position model. The record is from RNAcentral.